GAAGAAAGAACGAUUUCAAGUGACCUCGAAUCAAUUACGGAAUUGAAAUUAUGUUAAGACCAAGUAAAAAUUAUCUCAUCUAAGCCUGAAGAGAGAGUUUCCGUUUUUUUCAAAUACAACCUAGAAUUGAUGAAGACAAGGAAAAUAAAGAAUUAAAACUAAGAAAAUAAGGAAAAAAAUAUAAACAAAAAUAAAGAUUAGGAAAUUAGGUAAAAAUUGACACGUGGCAAGCAGUAAUAGGUGCGUGUUUGCACCUUCUUUCUUAUAAUUGACUAAAAAUGAGAUAUUUAUAUAUAUUACUUUAAAUUGUU
RNAcentral lists this long non-coding RNA (311 nucleotides) under Solanum tuberosum (potato). RNAcentral's name for it is "long non-coding RNA (STUB_LNC009881)". The record is from RNAcentral. Lineage: Eukaryota; Viridiplantae; Streptophyta; Magnoliopsida; Solanales; Solanaceae.